RNAcentral lists this ribosomal RNA (308 nucleotides) under Escherichia coli. Its description in RNAcentral is "partial 16S ribosomal RNA". It matches the Rfam family "Bacterial small subunit ribosomal RNA", at positions 1 to 303 of the family's 1533-position model. Lineage: Bacteria; Pseudomonadati; Pseudomonadota; Gammaproteobacteria; Enterobacterales; Enterobacteriaceae. The record is from RNAcentral.
UUAAAUUGAAGAGUUUGAUCAUGGCUCAGAUUGAACGCUGGCGGCAGGCCUAACACAUGCAAGUCGAACGGUAACAGGAAGCAGCUUGCUGUUUUGCUGACGAGUGGCGGACGGGUGAGUAAUGUCUGGGAAACUGCCUGAUGGAGGGGGAUAACUACUGGAAACGGUAGCUAAUACCGCAUAACGUCGCAAGACCAAAGAGGGGGACCUUAGGGCCUCUUGCCAUCGGAUGUGCCCAGAUGGGAUUAGCUAGUAGGUGGGGUAACGGCUCACCUAGGCGACGAUCCCUAGCUGGUCUGAGAGGAUGA